Molecule: ribosomal RNA, 253 nt
Filed under: uncultured bacterium
Lineage: Bacteria
Description: partial 16S ribosomal RNA
Rfam family: Bacterial small subunit ribosomal RNA
Source: RNAcentral
UACGUAGGUGGCAAGCGUUAUCCGGAAUUACUGGGCGUAAAGCGCACGCAGGCGGCGCAGCAAGUUCGACGUGAAAGCUCCCGGCUUAACUGGGAGAGGUCGUUGAAGACUGCUGUGCUUGAGGCAAUGAGAGGGGUGUAGAAUUCCCGGUGUAGUGGUGGAAUGCGUAGAUAUCGGGGGGAAUACCAGUGGCGAAAGCGGCACCCUAGCAUUAGCCUGACGCUCAUGUGCGAAAGCGUGGGGAGCGAACGGG